Molecule: ribosomal RNA, 497 nt
Filed under: uncultured bacterium
Lineage: Bacteria
Description: partial 16S ribosomal RNA
Rfam family: Bacterial small subunit ribosomal RNA
Source: RNAcentral
GAUGAACGCUGGCGGCGUGCCUAAUACAUGCAAGUCGAGCGAACAGACGAGGAGCUUGCUCCUCUGACGUUAGCGGCGGACGGGUGAGUAACACGUGGAUAACCUACCUAUAAGACUGGGAUAACUUCGGGAAACCGGAGCUAAUACCGGAUAAUAUAUUGAACCGCAUGGUUCAAUAGUGAAAGACGGUUUUGCUGUCACUUAUAGAUGGAUCCGCGCCGCAUUAGCUAGUUGGUAAGGUAACGGCUUACCAAGGCAACGAUGCGUAGCCGACCUGAGAGGGUGAUCGGCCACACUGGAACUGAGACACGGUCCAGACUCCUACGGGAGGCAGCCGUAGGGAAUCUUCCGCAAUGGGCGAAAGCCUGACGGAGCAACGCCGCGUGAGUGAUGAAGGUCUUCGGAUCGUAAAACUCUGUUAUUAGGGAAGAACAAAUGUGUAAGUAACUAUGCACGUCUUGACGGUACCUAAUCAGAAAGCCACGGCUAACUUCGUG